RNAcentral lists this long non-coding RNA (706 nucleotides) under Chinchilla lanigera (long-tailed chinchilla). Its description in RNAcentral is "lncRNA (ENSCLAG00000025670.1)". The record is from RNAcentral. Lineage: Eukaryota; Metazoa; Chordata; Mammalia; Rodentia; Chinchillidae.
CUGUUUUGCUUUGUAGAAGUUUUACAUAUUUCUUUUUUUAAGGUGAUGAGAUAGCUUAAUGAUAAAAACAUUGCUUUUGUUUGCAGCUUUGACUGGCUUACACUAUUGGAAGUUUCCUCAAAAUUUAGAAAAGCUAUCUUUCCAUCUAAAAGACAAGUACUGGAAUGGUCUUGAAGUUUCUCAUCCUUAUGUCUUCCUCACCGUGCCAGAAUAACUUGCAAUACCAGCAACAAGAGAAACAACAGUAAUGCCUACAUUUGCAGAAUACCCACUAUGUACACUUUUUAUGAUUCUGCCUGCUCACUACUACAAAGUCAUGAAGAGCAUUAAUAUGAUUGGGCAACUUCUGACUUAUAUAAGGUAGAAAUAGUUUUUGCACGUUUACUGUGGACCAUUGUAUAAACUUCUUAUUGUUUGUAUUUUAAAAUUAUUUCCCUGCAGUUUCUCACCCCUUCUGCAAUAUCCUUCUGCUGAUUUGGUCUAUCAGUAGAUUUGGACUUCAGUGUCAUCCUUACAUUCAAAGCCAUAUAGUGUACUAAAACUUUGAAAUAACAAUCUAUAAUUGGUAGUAUUUCUGAUCUUCUCUUAAUCAUAACAUAGAUAUUCCCAGAAUCUGUGCAUUCAUUAUUAGGACCACCACAAUCUUGCUAUAAUUAUUAUAUCUUAAUUUCAUUCUUUUUAUGCAUACUUUGUAUCACUUGUUUAU